AAAGGUUAGACGCUCUCAAGCUCAAGUGACA
Molecule: non-coding RNA, 31 nt
Filed under: Rattus norvegicus (Norway rat)
Lineage: Eukaryota; Metazoa; Chordata; Mammalia; Rodentia; Muridae
Source: RNAcentral